RNAcentral lists this ribosomal RNA (369 nucleotides) under uncultured bacterium. RNAcentral's name for it is "bacterial SSU rRNA". It matches the Rfam family "Bacterial small subunit ribosomal RNA", at positions 527 to 896 of the family's 1533-position model. The record is from RNAcentral.
AGAGGGUGCAAGCGUUAAUCGGAGUUACUGGGCGUAAAGGGCGCGUAGGCGGUUUAUUGGGUGUGAUGUGAAAGCCUUGGGCUUAACCUGAGAAGUGCAUCGCAAACUAAUAGACUGGAGUAUAUGAGAGGGUGGCGGAAUUUCCGGUGUAGCGGUGAAAUGCGUAGAGAUCGGAAGGAACGUCAAUGGCGAAGGCAGCCACCUGGCAUAAUACUGACGCUGAGGCGCGAGAGCGUGGGGAGCGAACAGGAUUAGAUACCCUGGUAGUCCACGCUGUAAACGAUGAGGACUAGAUGUUGCUGGGGGAACCUAGCAGUAUCGAAGCUAACGCGAUAAGUCUUCCGCCUGGGAAGUACGGCCGCAAGGUUG